RNAcentral lists this ribosomal RNA (492 nucleotides) under uncultured bacterium. RNAcentral describes it as "partial 16S ribosomal RNA". It matches the Rfam family "Bacterial small subunit ribosomal RNA", at positions 29 to 507 of the family's 1533-position model. The record is from RNAcentral.
AGUGAACGCUGGCGGUAGGCCUAACACAUGCAAGUCGAACGGCAGCACAGUAAGAGCUUGCUCUUACGGGUUGCGAGUGGCGGACGGGUGAGGAAUACAUCGGAAUCUACUUUUUCGUGGGGGAUAACGUAGGGAAACUUACGCUAAUACCGCAUACGACCUACGGGUGAAAGCAGGGGAUCUUCUGACCUUGCGCGAUUGAAUGAGCCGAUGUCGGAUUAGCUAGUGGGCGGGGUAAAUGCCCACCAAGGCGAGGAUCCGUAGAUGGUCUGGGUGGAUGAUAAGCCACACUGGGACGGGGACACGGUCCAGAGUCCUACGGGAGGGACCAGAGGGGAAAAUUGGGCAGUAGGGGCAAGUAUGACACAGCGAUACCGAGUGGGUGAAAAGAGCGUUCGGGGUGUGAAGACCUUUUUUGGGGAGAAAAAAGCAGCAGGUUAUAACCCCGCGGUUCUGACGGUACCCAAAAAAUAAGCACCGGCUAACUUCGUG